This 468-nucleotide ribosomal RNA is filed under the name uncultured bacterium. RNAcentral describes it as "partial 16S ribosomal RNA". It matches the Rfam family "Bacterial small subunit ribosomal RNA", at positions 28 to 507 of the family's 1533-position model. The record is from RNAcentral.
GACGAACGCUGGCGGCGUGCUUAACACAUGCAAGUCGAACGGAAAGGCCCUGCUUUUGUGGGUUUCUCGAGUGGCGAACGGGUGAGUAACACGUGAGUAUCCUGCCCUUGACUUUCGGAUAACUUCAGGAAACUGGGGCUAAUACCGCAUAGGAUCUCCUGCUGCAUGGUGGGGGUUGGAAAGUUUCGGCGGUUGGGGAUGGACUCGCUGCUUAUCAGCUUGUUGGUGGGGUAGUUGCUUACCAAGGGUUUGACGGGUAGCCGGCCUGAGAGGGGGACCGGCCACAAUGGGACUAAGGUAGGGACCAGAAUCGUACGGGAGGCAGUAGGGGGGAAUAUUGCGCAAUGGGCGGAAGCCUGAUGCAGCAACGCCGGGAGCGGGAUGACGGCCUUCGGGUUGUAAACAGCUUUCGAAUGUGACGAAGAGUGAGUGACGGUAAUGGGUAAAGAAGCACCGGCUAACUACGUG